This 465-nucleotide ribosomal RNA is filed under the name uncultured bacterium. RNAcentral's name for it is "partial 16S ribosomal RNA". It matches the Rfam family "Bacterial small subunit ribosomal RNA", at positions 28 to 507 of the family's 1533-position model. The record is from RNAcentral.
GACGAACGCUGGCGGCGUGCUUAACACAUGCAAGUCGAACGGAAAGGCCCCUUUGGGGGUACUCGAGUGGCGAACGGGUGAGUAACACGUCAGUAACCUGCCCUGGACUUCGGGAUAACUUCAGGAAACUGGGGCUAAUACCGGAUAGGAAUCCUUGCUGCAUGGUGGGGGUUGGAAAGCUUCGGCGGUUUUGGAUGGACUCGCGGCGUAUCAGCUUGUUGGUGGGGUAGUGGCUUACCAAGGCUUUGACGGGUAGCCGGCCUGAGAGGGUGACCGGCCACACUGGGACUGAGAGAAGGCCCAGACGCCUACGGGAGGCAGCAGGGGGGAAGAUUGCACAAUGGGCGGAAGCCUGAUGCAGCAACGCCGCGGGCGGGAUGACGGUCUUCGGGUUGGAAACCGCUUGCAGCAGGGGCGAAGCUUGUGGUGACGUUACCUGCAGAAGAAGCACCGGCUAACUACGUG